GGGGGGGUCCCCGCUGCCCCGGCGCCCCGCCUCCUCCAAUCAGCGGCCGCGCUGCCGGGCAGGGGUUAACCAGGGCACCCCGCGCCGGCUGAGGAGGCCGCACCUCGCCGGACGGCUGAGGGCGGGCGACGGGCGGCGCCGGCGGACGGGCCGCGACGCCAGGGAAGGUCAGGCGGCCCGGGGCGUCCUGCGACUGCCCGAGGUCGGAGGCCCGGAGGACCCGCCGCCGCCUUUGUGUCACCAGCCCCCGCCCCGCUGGACUGGCCCGGGCCGGGGCGGUUGGGCCGGCGCUGAAGAGGCUUGGCCGCCCGGGUCCACCCGUUCCCGGAUCCGCCUCGGCGGCCCCCGCGCCCGCCCAACCCCUGCCCAACCCCUCGGCUCCGCGAGUUUGGGUGAGAAGUGCGGCGGCUUUUCCCAGGGAUGGAGUUUAGAGGACGCUAAUCCUAUGUGCGAGCGGCGGACCCCGCCCGGAUUUCCCGGAGGCGCCCGGUUAGUGAGGCGACGGCGCCCACCCGCGUUCGCGGGCUCCCGACCGCCACUCCCCGGAGCCGCCGGCCCGCCCCAGCCCCGCGCGUCGCCCCGGAGGGCGGGCUGCACUCCCUCCACGCACCUGGCUGGCAGAGCGUCUCCAGGGACAAAAGGUGCCCUGGCAUCAAAGCCGAGCCCCCGCCCCCGCCGGGAUGCUGCCCUCCGGAAGGAGGGGCGCUGCCCCCAAGGUACUCUCCCCGGGCACCCAGGGGGAGGUUCCAUUUCAACCUCCGAUGAAAAACACGGCCCUCCCGGGUAUUUAGGAGGGUCUGAGGGUAAGUGCCAAGAUGGAGAAAACACACCGGCCCCUCACAGAGUAUCUCCUGAGGAAUGACAACUAUCUAGUGGGCAAGGAGGGCUUCCUGCAUAGCAGAGGGCACCCCCUCUGAUCCCCCAACGCCAAGGGAAAAAAAUCACUCUUCACCGGCUCCCCUGAGCCAGGACAGGCUCCAGUGCAGCCACCCACCUUAUAAUUUUCCGCGGAUGCUGCCUUGAUCAGAUAGAUCUGAAGAUGACUUUAAGGACUACAAGCAAAUCUCAAGGGAAAAAUUCAGACCUUGAACAACAGCCUUGAACUUUUUCAGGGUUAGACAAGUACUCCCCUGUGGAGUUUCUGCCCUUAUUUCUUCGUUCUUCUGUUAAUUCUUCCAUAUUUUAACAGAACACAGACCUGCCGAAACGACACAGGAUGGCGCUUUGCUUUUUGUUAGUUCUCCAACCUUCCAAACCCUUGGGGCACAUGCAAGCACUGUGGAAAAACUCCAUUAAACCAAGAGUCAUCUUACUCCAGAUCCCAGACUGCUUGGGAAGUUGGACAUGCAUAUUCCCAAAGAGAACAGUGUUGGAAGGAGACAGGAGAGCAGCUCGGGGGUUGGGGGUAGAGGGUAGGAAAAGAGGGCAAGAUGGAUGACUACCACUCGAGGCCAGCCUCCACUGCCUGUUAGGGCAGUAGAACCUAAGAGCCGGUCCAAGGCAACACAAAAGACAGUGAGGCUAGGUCUUUCAUUGCAGCCAACGAUCAAGAAAGCAACUCCAUCAAAUGACACUGUCUUUUAAAAAAAAAUUUUUUUUUUGAGACAGAGUCUCGCUCUGUCGCCCAGGCUGGAGUGCAGUGGUGCGAUCUUGGCUCACUGCAACCUCUGCCACCCGGGUUCAAGCAGUUCUCCCUGCCUCAGCCUCCUGAGUAGCUGAGAUUACAGGCACGCGCUACCAGGCCCGGCUAAUUUUUUUUUUUUUUGGUGGAGUCGAGGUUUUGCCAUGUUGGCCACGUUGGUCUCGAAUUCCUGACCUCAGGUGAUCCGCCCAUCUCAGCCUCCCAAAGUGCUGGGAUUUCAAGCGUUAGCCACCGCGCCCGACCAAAUGACACUGUCUUAAAUGAUUUAAUGUCUUAAAUCGGGAAAGGAGAGUAAGAGAAAGCACUCAACGGAGUCAGAGGUGUCUUGCAGCCUAGCUCUUUCCACAGACAAGCUACAUGGGCCUAUCAUCUAACCUUUUCAAGCUUCUCCGACUGCUUCUGUGUUGGAGGGAUUUGGGCUAGAGGAUCUUUUUAUUUUUUUUUAUUUUAUUUUGGUGACGGAGUCUCUCACUGUCGCCCGGGCUGAAGUGCAGUGGCGCAAUCUCAGCUCACUGCAACCUCUUUCUCCUGGGUUCACGCGAUUCUCCUGCCUCAGCCUCCCAACUAGCUGGGAUUACAGGCGCACACCACCACACCUGGCCUAUUUUUUGUAUUUUUAGUAGAGACGGGGUUUCACUAUGUUGGCCAGACUGGUCUCGAACUCCUGACCUCGUGAUCUGCCCACCUCGGCCUCCCAAAGUGCUGUGAUUACAGGCAUGAGCCACCGCACCUGGCCUGUGAUCCCAUUUUUCAAAGUAAUUAGGCUGGGUGCAGUAGCUCACGCCUGUAAUCCCAGCACUCUGGGAGGCCAAAGCGGGUGGAUCACUUGAGGCCAGCAGUUCGAGACCAGCCUGGCCAACAUGGUGAAACCCUGUGUCUACUAAAAAUACAAAAAUUAGCUCGGCAUAGUGGCACGUACCUGUACUUUCAGCUACUUGGGAGGUUGAGGCAGGAGAAUUCGCUUGAACCCGGGAGGCAGAGGUUGCAGUGAGCCAAGAUGGCACCACUGCACUCCAUUCUGGGUGACAGAGUGAGACCCUGUCUCAAAAAUAAUGAUAAUAAAAUAAAAGUAAUUAUUUAAGGCUGGGAGCGGUGGCUCAUGCCUGUAAUCACAGCACUUUGGGAGGCCGAGGUGGGUGGAUCAUGAGGUCAGGAGGUCGAGACCAUCCUGUCUAACACAGUGAAACCCUGUCUCUACUAAAAAUACAAAAAAAUUAGCCAGGCAUGGUGGCGGGCGCCUGUAGUCCCAGCUACUCGGGAGGCUGAGGCAGGAGAAUCGCUUGAACCCAGAAGGCGGAGGUUGCAGUAAGCCGAGAUCACACCACUGCACUCCAGCCUGGGUGACAGAGCGAGACUCCGUCUCAAAAAAAAUUAUUAUUAUUAUUUAAAAUAAUCAUUGGGCCUGGUGCGGUGGCUCACACCUGUAAUCCUAGCACUUUGGGAGGCCAAGGCGGGCGGAUCACGAGGUCAGGAGAUUGAGAUCCAACCUGGCCAACAUGGUGAAACCCCAUCUCUACUAAAAAUAUUUUUUUAAUUAGCUGGGCGUGGCGGCGGGCACCUGUAAUCCCAGCUAGUCGGGAGACUGAGGCAGGAGAAUCGCUUGAACCUGGGAGUCGAAGGUUUCAGUGAGCCGAGGUCGUGCCACUGCAAUCCACCUGGCCAACAGAGCAAGACUCUGUCUCUAAAAUAAUAAUUUUUAUUAUUGUUAUUCUUGACAGGCCAGUGUAGAACAGGUGGGGCAUCUAUGGUGACAGAACUGGGUUCCAAUUCUGUCCCUUCACCUGUCCCAGGUUCCUCAUCUGAAAACUGUGACCCAGUAAACCUAAUUUCAUGAGCAGCUUUCAUUAAAAUUGAAAUAAUGGUGGAAAAUGCCUUGUAACCGUGCUUGAUGUAGAGUAGUUACUUAGCCAGUUAUUUCCUCUCUUCUUCCCAUUCCUAACAAAAUGGAAAAACGUUUGGUUGCUAGGAAAGAGCCUUAAGGGGAUUUUGUUGUUGUUUGACUCUAUCGCCCAGGAUGGAGUGCAAUGGCACAAUCUCUGCUCAGUGCAACCUCCGCCAUAGACAGGAGCCAAGCGUAGUGGUGUGCACCUGUCGGUAGUUCCAGCCUCUUAGGAGGCUGAGGCAGGAGGAUUGCUUGAGGCCAGGAGUUUGAGUCUAGCUUGGGCAAUAUAUUGAAACCUUGUCUCUUAAAAAAAAAAAAAAAAAAGAGGCCAGGUGUGGUGGCUCACACCUGUAAUCCCAGCACAUUGGGAGGCCGAGGCAGUGGAUCACUUGACACCAGGAGUUCGAGACCAGCCUGGGCAACAUGCAAACUUAUGUCUUUUAGGCCGGGCGCGGUGGCUCACACCUGUAAUACCAGCACUUUGGUAGGCCGAGGCGGGCAGAUCACGAGGUCAGGAGAUCGAGACCAUCCUGGCUAAGAUGAAACCCAGUCUCUACUAAAAAUAAAAAAAAAUUAGCCGGGUGUGGUGGCUGGCGCCUGUAGUCCCGGCUACUUGGGAGGCUGAGGCAGGAGAAUGGCAUGAACCCAGGAGGUGGAGUUUGCAGUAAGCCAAGACAGCACCACUGCACUCCAGCCCAGGCAACAGAGCUAGACGCCCUCUCAAAAAAAAAAAAAAAUUACAUCUUUAAAAAAAAAUGCAGGGCCGGGUGCGGUGGCUCAUGCCUGUAAUCCCAGCACUUUGGGAGGCCGAGGCGGGCGAAUCACGAGGUCAGGAGAUCGAGAGCAUCCUGGCUAACACAGUGAAACCCUGUCUCUAGUAAAAAUACAAAAAAUUAGCCAGGCGUGGCAGCAUGCGUCUGUAGUCCCAGCUGCUGGGGAGGCUGAGGCAGGAGAAUGGCGUGAACCCAGGAGGCAGAGCUUGCAGUGAGCCAAGGUCCCGCCACUGCACUCCAGCCUGGGCGACAGAGCGAGACUCGGUCUCAAAAAAUAAUAAUUAACAAAAAAAAAAAAAUACAAAAGUUAGUUGCACAUGUUGCCAUAUGCUCGUGGUCCCAGCUACUCAGCAGGCUGAGGUUGGGAGAUCACUUGAGCCCAGAAGGUGGAGGUUGCAGUGAGCUGAGAACCCACCAUUGUACUCCAGCCUGCGUGUCAGUGAGAUUCUGUCUCAAAAAAAAAAAGAAAAGAAAAAAAAUCUAGGCUAUGCUCCCUAGUAUGGGAAAUCUAGUCUAGUCAUUUGACAGAAUCAGGCUUUGCAGGCCAUAUUGUCUCUGUC
Molecule: long non-coding RNA, 4857 nt
Filed under: Homo sapiens (human)
Lineage: Eukaryota; Metazoa; Chordata; Mammalia; Primates; Hominidae
Description: non-protein coding lnc-IMPDH1-3:1
Source: RNAcentral